This is a long non-coding RNA of Cryptotermes secundus, 636 nucleotides long. RefSeq lists it as uncharacterized. NCBI's taxonomy places the organism in Eukaryota, Metazoa, Arthropoda, Insecta, Blattodea, Kalotermitidae. The record is from RefSeq and is a predicted model, not a curated record. The transcript is spliced from 3 exons.
GGGAGUUUCUAGUACGGUAUUGCUUCUAGCAGCUGUCGACACAAGUUACUGGUUUGUGAUAUUUUGAUCUUGGUGCAUUUGAUUCGUUAUUGAAAUAUUUAAGCCUAACUGCAGUUCUAACAGUGAAACAUAUCUGCGUGAGACUCCUGUGUAUGGCUGAACAUGCACUGUUGUAAUCAGUAGCACGUGGCGAAGUUAACCUCGCGCAGCAUUCUGUUGUCUGUGCUUGAUGUAUAAACUGCUUGACUGCACAAAGCCGGAGGCACCGUAACAGUGGAAGGAAGGCAGCGGAUUGGUUUUGCCACGAUACGAGUGCCCGUGGAGGACCCCGAAUUUACGGAGCAGAUAGAGAACAUCACAGUGCCGGCCGGCCGCAACGUCAAGCUGGCAUGUUCAGUGAAGAACCUCGGCACUUACAAGGUUGCGUGGAUGCACUUCGAACAGUCUGCAAUACUGACAGUGCACAACCACGUGAUCACGAGGAAUCCCCGUAUUUCUGUGACACAUGACAAACAUCGCACUUGGUUCCUCCACAUCAGCAACGUCCAGGAGGAAGACAAGGGCCGCUAUAUGUGCCAGAUCAACACUGUUACCGCCAAGACCCAGUUCGGAUAUCUGCACGUAGUGGGUAAGUGU